Molecule: small nuclear RNA, 331 nt
Filed under: Aotus nancymaae (Ma's night monkey)
Lineage: Eukaryota; Metazoa; Chordata; Mammalia; Primates; Aotidae
Description: 7SK RNA (ENSANAG00000004897.1)
Rfam family: 7SK RNA
About the family: 7SK was discovered as an abundant small nuclear RNA in the mid-70s but a possible function has only recently been suggested. Two independent studies have found that 7SK RNA binds the CDK9/cyclin T complex (known as elongation factor P-TEFb). P-TEFb activates transcription by phosphorylating the C-terminal domain of RNA polymerase II.
Source: Rfam by way of RNAcentral
AGAUGUAAGGGUGGUUGGCUGCAACAUCUGUCACCCGCCAGCGUCCGCCUAGGGUUGAUUAGUGAUCUUGGCUGGAUAGCUGCGUGUGCCCUCCUGCCUCACCACUGCAUGUACAUCCCUCCUGAAGCUACAUGCCUGGUUGAAGAAGACAACCUUCCCCAGUAGAAGAGGGCCACUGUUUGGUUAAGGGUAUAUAAGUACCUGUAUUCCCCUGCUAGAACCUCCAAACAAGCUCUCAAGUUCCAUUUGUAGGAGAACAUAGGGCAGUCAAGCUUCUAAGACUCCAGACACAUCCAAAUGAGGUGCUGCAUGUGGCAGUCCGCUUUUCUUU